GAAUUAUGGUUUAUGGUUGGAUGAAGUACUUUGAAAGUAUGGGCAGAAGGUUCGAUUCCUUCGUAGUUCU
RNAcentral lists this transfer RNA (70 nucleotides) under Cuspidaria undata. RNAcentral describes it as "tRNA-Ser". Lineage: Eukaryota; Metazoa; Mollusca; Bivalvia; Cuspidariidae. The record is from RNAcentral.